UCAGAGGGCCGGAUAGCCGCUUUGCAAGGGCUUUUGCCUUUGCCGGGAGGAAAGUCCGGGCUUCACGGAAACACGGUGCCGGGUAAUGCCCGGGCAGGGCGACCUGACGGAAAGUGCAGCAGAGAGGAAACCGCCGAUGGGCCUUACGGUCACAGGCAAGGCUGAAAGGGUGCGGUAAGAGCGCACCGCGUCUUUGGCAACAAAGACGGCAUGGUAAACCCCGCCGGAAGCAAGAUCAAAUAGGGGCUGCAUAUGGAUUGUUUCCGAUCCGCAGCCCGGGUAGAUCGCUAGAGGUUUUUGGUAACAAACGCCCCAGAUGAAUGGCUAUCUCCGCCGGCGCGUUGCGCAAGCAGGGCGAAGACGGAACAGAACCCGGCUUACAGGCCCUCUGACCGA
RNAcentral lists this RNase P RNA (396 nucleotides) under Alphaproteobacteria bacterium. RNAcentral describes it as "RNase P RNA component class A". It matches the Rfam family "Bacterial RNase P class A". From Rfam's summary of the family: Ribonuclease P (RNase P) is a ubiquitous endoribonuclease, found in archaea, bacteria and eukarya as well as chloroplasts and mitochondria. Its best characterised activity is the generation of mature 5'-ends of tRNAs by cleaving the 5'-leader elements of precursor-tRNAs. Lineage: Bacteria; Pseudomonadati; Pseudomonadota; Alphaproteobacteria. RNAcentral also lists the same sequence under 1 other name. The record is from RNAcentral.